AAGGAUCAUUAAAGAUUAUGAAUGAAUAGAUUGCUGGGGAAUCGUCUGAACAAGGCCUGCGCUUAAUUGCGCGGCCAAUUCUUGAUUCUCUGCUAUCAGUUUUCUAUUUCUCAUCCUAAACACAAUGGAGUUUUUUCUCUAUGAACUACUUCCCUGGAGAGCUCGUCUCUCCAGUGGACAUAAACACAAACAAUAUUUUGUAUUAUGAAAAACUAUUAUACUAUAAAAUUUAAUAUUCAAAACUUUCAACAACGGAUCUCUUGGUUCUCGCAUCGAUGAAGAACGCAGCGAAUUGCGAUAUGUAUUGUGAAUUGCAGAUUUUCGUGAAUCAUCAAAUCUUUGAACGCACAUUGCGCCCUCUGGUAUUCCAGGGGGCAUGCCUGUUUGAGCGUCAUUUCUCUCUCAAACCUUUGGGUUUGGUAGUGAGUGAUACUCGUCUCGGGUUAACUUGAAAGUGGCUAGCCGUUGCCAUCUGCGUGAGCAGGGCUGCGUGUCAAGUCUAUGGACUCGACUCUUGCACAUCUACGUCUUAGGUUUGCGCCAAUUCGUGGUAAGCUUGGGUCAUAGAGACUCAUAGGUGUUAUAAAGACCCGCUGGUGUUUGUCUCCUUGAGGCAUACGGCUUUAACCAAAACUCUCAAAGUUUGACCUCAAAUCAGGUAGGGGUACCCGCUGAACUUAA
Molecule: ribosomal RNA, 681 nt
Filed under: Kluyveromyces marxianus
Lineage: Eukaryota; Fungi; Ascomycota; Saccharomycetes; Saccharomycetales; Saccharomycetaceae
Description: eukaryotic LSU rRNA
Rfam family: 5.8S ribosomal RNA (bases 241-394)
Source: RNAcentral